This 239-nucleotide ribosomal RNA is filed under the name uncultured bacterium. RNAcentral's name for it is "partial 16S ribosomal RNA". It matches the Rfam family "Bacterial small subunit ribosomal RNA", at positions 118 to 347 of the family's 1533-position model. The record is from RNAcentral.
UGAGGAACAUGACCUUCGGCGGGGGGAUAGCCGGCCCAACGGCCGGGUAAUACCGCGUACGACCACAUGGGGACAUCCCUGAGUGGUGAAAGCAGCAAUGCGCCGAUGGAGUGCCUCGCGGCCUAUCAGCUAGUUGGUGAGGUAACGGCUCACCAAGGCGACGACGGGUANCUGGUCUGAGAGGAUGGCCAGCCACAUUGGGACUGAGACACGGCCCAGACCUUCGUAACCGGGGACGG